RNAcentral lists this ribosomal RNA (492 nucleotides) under uncultured bacterium. Its description in RNAcentral is "partial 16S ribosomal RNA". It matches the Rfam family "Bacterial small subunit ribosomal RNA", at positions 29 to 507 of the family's 1533-position model. The record is from RNAcentral.
AGUGAACGCUGGCGGUAUGCCUAACACAUGCAAGUCGAACGGCAGCACAGUAAGCUCUUGCUCUUACGGUUGGCGAGUGGCGGACGGGUGAGGCAUACAUCGGAAUCUACUUUUUCUUGGGUGAUAACGUAGGGAAACUUACGCUAAUACCUCAUACGACCUACGGCUUAAAUCAGUGGAUCUUCGGACCUUUCCCGAUUGAUUUAGCCGAUUUCGGAUUAGCUAGUUGGCGUGGUAAAGGCCCACCAAGGCGACGAUCCGUAGCUGGUCUGAGAGGAUGAUCAGCCACACUGGAACUGAGACACGGUCCAGACUCCUACGGGAGGCAGCAGUGGGGAAUAUUGGACAAUGGGCGAAAGCCUGAUCGAGCAAUACCGCGUGAGUGAAGAAGGCCUUCGGGUUGUAAAGCCCUGUUGUUGGGAAAGAAAAGAAGCAGGUUAAUACACCGCUGUUCUGACGGUACCCAAAGAAUAAGCAACGGCUAACUUCGUG